AAGUCGUAACAAGGUAACCGUAGGUGAACCUGCGGAAGGAUCAUUAACACGUAUCCACGUAUCAACCAACUGUGAACUUGUUUUCACUUUCUCCCUAUGGAUGAAUCUAUUUCAUCUGUAGGCUUAUACCAAAAUACACCCUAAUCACACCUUUUGCUAGUUGACUUUUUAUCUGUAGUCUAUAGAUGAUCUCUUAGGAUUAUCUGUUGCUACACGUUCUAAUAAAACGUUAAAACGAUACAACUCUUAGCAAUGGAUAUCUUGGUUCUC
RNAcentral lists this unclassified non-coding RNA (270 nucleotides) under fungal sp. RNAcentral describes it as "partial internal transcribed spacer region". The stretch from base 1 to 46 matches the Rfam family "Eukaryotic small subunit ribosomal RNA", at positions 1786 to 1831 of the family's 1831-position model. Lineage: Eukaryota; Fungi. The record is from RNAcentral.